GUCUAUGGUCAUACUGCCUUGAACACACCUAAUCUUGGAAGCUAAGCAGGAUUGGGACUGAUUACUACUUGGAUGGGAGACAAGGUCUUCAGGGUGGAAGUGGCUUUCCUUCUGCACUUAGGUCUCUGAGUCU
RNAcentral lists this ribosomal RNA (133 nucleotides) under Dipodomys ordii (Ord's kangaroo rat). The record is from RNAcentral. Lineage: Eukaryota; Metazoa; Chordata; Mammalia; Rodentia; Heteromyidae.